RNAcentral lists this long non-coding RNA (1235 nucleotides) under Ornithorhynchus anatinus (platypus). RNAcentral describes it as "lncRNA (ENSOANG00000048553.1)". The record is from RNAcentral. Lineage: Eukaryota; Metazoa; Chordata; Mammalia; Monotremata; Ornithorhynchidae.
GUUCUUGGUGCCCGCCCCCCUUGUGAGGUCACAGGCCAAUCUAACCGAUUGGCUUCCCACCUGUCCGUUGGGCUCCGGCUGGAGUGAGCACAUGGCCACAUCCAAGCUGUACCAAGCAAGCUUUGGAGAGCAUGACAGAUCCACACCAGGCUGGCAACCAGAAUUGCUCUAUUUCCCUCUGGCCUUCCCCAAACCCCCUCGCCCGGGCACCAAGAAGCGAUCGAAGCCCUCUCAGCUCACAGCGGAGAGAGAACACAGAGCGGCCGCCCUUCCUUCCGCGCUCCCUCCGGGCAGGAGGCCGCUCUGGAUGAGCCGCUCCUUGGGAGAAAUGUCCUGGCAGCUGAGGGUGGACAACAGGCCCAGGAAGCACUCCGGGGCCUUGCCCACGUCGAUCCCACCCUCGCGGGCCAAGCCCACUCCGGUCCCACCCCCCCCAGGCCCCACCCCCAAACCCCCCAUCCCCUCCCUCGCCCCCCCCGUCGCCCCCACCCCCACCCUCACCCCCCUCACCCUCAGAGACCCCACCCACGCCGCCACAUGCCCAGCCGGAGCCCUCCGGCUCGGGCCUAGUUCCGGCCCAGGCGGCCUCUCUCCGAGACCAGGCCCCGCCUCUGCCCCCAAAGUUCAGUUUUGUGAGGUUCUUCAAGUGGAAAUGGAAGGCCCCCAAGGAGGCUACUGAGAGACCCCCAGAGGUCCCCUCCCAACAGCCGGGGACCCCACCGGAGGGGUCUCCCCCGGGUUCCCCCGUCCCGGAGCCGGAGGGCAAGGGGUCGCCCGUGCGCGCCUGCCCCUCGGACCCCUCGGACCCCGGCAGCCCGGAGCCCCAGCCCCCCAGGCCCAAGCCCAGAGGGUGGCCGGUCCCGACCUUGCUCAGACGCUUCCUGAAGAAGCGUCGCUCCGGCCCCAGGCCCGGUCACGCGGAGCCCCCCGGUUCCCCCGCGGCAGCCCUGGCCCCACCGGUCUCCCCCGAGCAAGACGACAGACCCCCUGCCCUCCCCCCGGAGAGACCUCCGCCCCCCAAGGCCGCCUCCAGCCCCUGGAUCAUCGAGAAGACGCUGGCGAACCAACUGCGGGUCGUGCGAGUGGAGUGGCCCCCCCAGGACCCCGAGGUGCCACCGCAGGAGCCGGCCCCGCCCCCCGCCGAGGGCACCCGCACCAUCCCGUUGGUGAGCUUCGCCGGGCGGCCGUGGGGCCAGAGGGGGGAGGGUUGGGGGCUGGGGGGCCGGGCCGCCUUC